CCUACGGGAGGCAGCAGUGAGGAAUAUUGGUCAAUGGCCGGAAGGCUGAACCAGCCAUGCCGCGUGAAGGUCAGUGCCCUAUGGGCGUUAAACUUCUUUUGUGCGGGAGCAAUAAUGGUCACGUGUGGCCAGACGAGAGUACCGUACGAAUAAGCAUCGGCUAACUCCGUGCCAGCAGCCGCGGUAAUACGGGGGAUGCAAGCGUUAUCCGGAUUUAUUGGGUUUAAAGGGUGCGUAGGCUGUGGGGUAAGUCAGCGGUGAAAUGCCCCCGCUCAACGGGGUGAAGUGCCAUUGAUACUGCCUGGCUGGAAUGCGGAUGCCGUGGGAGGAAUGUGUGGUGUAGCGGUGAAAUGCAUAGAUAUCACACAGAACACCGAUUGCGAAGGCAUCUCACGAAGCCGCGAUUGACGCUGAUGCACGAAAGCGUGGGUAUCAAACAGGAUUAGAUACCCUGGUAGUC
This 460-nucleotide ribosomal RNA is filed under the name uncultured bacterium. RNAcentral describes it as "partial 16S ribosomal RNA". It matches the Rfam family "Bacterial small subunit ribosomal RNA", at positions 338 to 795 of the family's 1533-position model. The record is from RNAcentral.